Molecule: unclassified non-coding RNA, 390 nt
Filed under: soil metagenome
Description: partial contains 5.8S ribosomal RNA, internal transcribed spacer 2, and large subunit ribosomal RNA
Rfam family: 5.8S ribosomal RNA (bases 1-122)
Source: RNAcentral
GAUGAAGAACGCAGCGAAAUGCGAUACUUGGUGUGAAUUGCAGGAUCCCGUGAACCAUCGAGUCUUUGAACGCAAGUUGCGCCCGAAGCCAUUAGGCCGAGGGCACGCCUGCCUGGGCGUCACACGUCGUUGCCCCCCAUCUACUCCUUCGGGAUUGCGGGGGGCGGAUGAUGGCCUCCCGUGCGCCUCGUCGCGCGGUUGGCAUAAAUGCCAAGUCCUCGGCGACGCACGCCACGACAAUCGGUGGUUGCGAAACCUCGGUUGCCCGUCGUGUGCGGUCGUCGCGCAUCGAGGGCUCGAAAAAAUUGUCGGGCUCCGGCUCGGCUUUCAACGCGACCCCAGGUCAGGCGGGGUUACCCGCUGAAUUUAAGCAUAUCAAUAAGCGGAGGA